ACGGGCAGGGCAGUGCACCCUGCAGGUGAGAGCGGGAACACCUGCAUCACAGCCUUUGGCCCUAG
Molecule: microRNA precursor, 65 nt
Organism: Homo sapiens (human)
Lineage: Eukaryota; Metazoa; Chordata; Mammalia; Primates; Hominidae
Source: Ensembl